RNAcentral lists this ribosomal RNA (415 nucleotides) under Spiroplasma endosymbiont of Glossina tachinoides. Its description in RNAcentral is "bacterial SSU rRNA". It matches the Rfam family "Bacterial small subunit ribosomal RNA", at positions 97 to 500 of the family's 1533-position model. The record is from RNAcentral. Lineage: Bacteria; Bacillati; Mycoplasmatota; Mollicutes; Entomoplasmatales; Spiroplasmataceae.
GGCGAACGGGUGAGUAACACGUAUCUAAUCUACCUAUUAGCGGGGGAUAACAGUUGGAAACGACUGCUAAUACCGCAUACGACAUUUUCUGGCAUCAGAGAAUGUUAAAAGGUCCGUUUGGACCACUAAUGGAUGAGGGUGCGGCGUAUUAGUUAGUUGGUGGGGUAAUGGCCUACCAAGACAAUGAUACGUAGCCGAACUGAGAGGUUGAACGGCCACAUCGGGACUGAGACACGGCCUGAACUCCUACGGGAGGCAGCAGUAGGGAAUUUUUCACAAUGGGCGAAAGCCUGAUGGAGCAAUGCCGCGUGACUGAAGACGGUCUUCGGAUUGUAAAGGUCUGUUGUAAGGGAAGAACAGUAAGUAUAGGAAAUGAUACUUAUUUGACGGUACCUUACCAGAAAGCCACGGCUAA